This is a non-coding RNA of Picea glauca (white spruce), 73 nucleotides long. NCBI's taxonomy places the organism in Eukaryota, Viridiplantae, Streptophyta, Pinopsida, Pinales, Pinaceae. The record is from Rfam.
CUAGUUGUAAUCUAGAUGGUAAGGAUACUUGACUCUCACCCAAGAGACCUGGGUUCCAGUCCCUACAAUGAAA